This 497-nucleotide ribosomal RNA is filed under the name uncultured bacterium. RNAcentral's name for it is "partial 16S ribosomal RNA". It matches the Rfam family "Bacterial small subunit ribosomal RNA", at positions 28 to 507 of the family's 1533-position model. The record is from RNAcentral.
GAUGAACGCUGGCGGCGUGCCUAAUACAUGCAAGUCGAGCGAACGGACGAGAAGCUUGCUUCUCUGAUGUUAGCGGCGGACGGGGGAGUAACACGUGGAUAACCUACCUAUAAGACUGGGAUAACUUCGGGAAACCGUAGCUAAUACCGGAUAAUAUUUUGAACCGCAUGGUUCAAAAGUGAAAGACGGUCUUGCUGUCACUUAUAGAUGGAUCCGCGCUGCAUUAGCUAGUUGGUAAGGUAACGGCUUACCAAGGCAACGAUGCAUAGCCGGCCUGAGAGGGUGAUCGGCCACACUGGAACUGAGACACGGUCCAGACUCCUACGGGAGGCAGCAGUAGGGAAUCUUCCGCAAUGGGCGAAAGCCUGACGGAGCAACGCCGCGUGAGUGAUGAAGGUCUUCGGAUCGUAAAACUCUGUUAUUAGGGAAGAACAUAUGUGUAAGUAACUGUGCACAUCUUGACGGUACCUAAUCAGAAAGCCACGGCUAACUACGUG